RNAcentral lists this ribosomal RNA (253 nucleotides) under uncultured bacterium. Its description in RNAcentral is "partial 16S ribosomal RNA". It matches the Rfam family "Bacterial small subunit ribosomal RNA", at positions 524 to 776 of the family's 1533-position model. The record is from RNAcentral.
UACGUAGGGUGCGAGCGUUCAUCGGAAUUACUGGGCGUAAAGCGUGCGCAGGCGGUUGUGCAAGUCCGAUGUGAAAUCCCCGGGCUUAACCUGGGAACUGCAUUUGUGACUGCACGGCUAGAGUGUGUCAGAGGGGGGUAGAAUUCCACGUGUAGCAGUGAGAUGCGUAGAUAUGUGGAGGAAUACCGAUGGCGAAGGCAGCCCCCUGGGAUAACACUGACGCUCAUGCACGAAAGCGUGGGGAGCAAACAGG